CCUACGGGAGGCAGCAGCAAGGAAUCUUCCGCAAUGGGCGAAAGCCUGACGGAGCAACGCCGCGUGGGGGAUGAAGCCUUUCGGGGUGUAAACCUCUUUUCUCGGGGACGAAGAUCUGACGGUACCCGAGGAAUAAGGACCGGCUAACUACGUGCCAGCAGCCGCGGUAAUACGUAGGGUCCGAGCGUUGUCCGGAGUUACUGGGCGUAAAGCGCGCGCAGGUGGCGUCGCAAGUCUGGCGUGAAAGCCCCCGGCUCAACCGGGGAGGGUCGUCGGAUACUGCGGUGCUUGAGGGAGGCAGGGGUCGGUGGAAUGCCCGGUGUAGUGGUGAAAUGCGUAGAGAUCGGGCGGAACACCCGUGGCGAAGGCGGCCGACUGGGCCUAACCUGACACUGAGGCGCGAAGGCGUGGGGAGCGAACGGGAUUAGAUACCCUAGUAGUC
This 442-nucleotide ribosomal RNA is filed under the name uncultured bacterium. RNAcentral describes it as "bacterial SSU rRNA". It matches the Rfam family "Bacterial small subunit ribosomal RNA", at positions 338 to 795 of the family's 1533-position model. The record is from RNAcentral.